GAUGAACGCUGGCGGCGUGCCUAACACAUGCAAGUCGAACGGACAGGCCCUGAUCUUGCGGGGCUCUCGUGAGGCGAACGGGGGAGUAACACGUGUGUAAACUGUCCCUGAAUUUGGGAUAACUCUAGGAAACUGCGGCUCAUACCGGAUAGGAUCUUCUGCAGCAUGGUGGGGGUUGGAAAGAUUCGGCGGUUGGGGAUCGACUCGCGGCUUAUCCGCUUGUUGGUGGAGUAGUGGCUUACCAAGGUUUCGACGGGUAGCCGGCAUGAGAGGGUGGCCGGCCACAUUGGGACUGAGAGACGGACCAGACGCGUACGGGAGGCAGCGGGGGAGAGUAUUACGCAGUGGGCGGGAGCGUGAUACAGCAACGCCGCGUGCGGAAUGACGGCCUACGAGUUGUGAACCGCUUUCUACUGUGACGAGGCGAGAGUGACGGUAAUGAAUAAAGAAGCACCGGCUAACUACGUG
Molecule: ribosomal RNA, 468 nt
Filed under: uncultured bacterium
Lineage: Bacteria
Description: partial 16S ribosomal RNA
Rfam family: Bacterial small subunit ribosomal RNA
Source: RNAcentral